CCUACGGGAGGCUGCAGUGGGGAAUAUUGCACAAUGGGGGAAACCCUGAUGCAGCGACGCCGCGUGAGUGAAGAAGUAUUUCGGUAUGUAAAGCUCUAUCAGCAGGGAAGAAAAUGACGGUACCUGACUAAUAAGCCCCGGCUAACUACGUGCCAGCAGCCGCGGUAAUACGUAGGGGGCAAGCGUUAUCCGGAUUUACUGGGUGUAAAGGGAGCGUAGACGGGAAGACAAGUCAGGAGUGAAAUGCCAGGGCUUAACCCGGGAACUGCAUUGGAAACUGUAGAGCUAGAGUGAAGGAGAGGUAAGUGGAAUUCCGGGUGUAGCGGUGAAAUGCGUAGAUAUUAGGAGGAACACCAGUGGCGAAGGCGGCUUGCUGGACUGUAACUGACGUUGAGGCUCGAAAGCGUGGGGAGCAAACAGGAUUAGAUACCCCUGUAGUC
Molecule: ribosomal RNA, 440 nt
Filed under: uncultured bacterium
Lineage: Bacteria
Description: partial 16S ribosomal RNA
Rfam family: Bacterial small subunit ribosomal RNA
Source: RNAcentral